Molecule: non-coding RNA, 135 nt
Organism: Triticum aestivum (bread wheat)
Lineage: Eukaryota; Viridiplantae; Streptophyta; Magnoliopsida; Poales; Poaceae
Source: Rfam
CUUAUACUCUCUUCGUCUUAAAAUUCCUGUCUUAAAUUUGUCUAGAUACGGAUAUAUCUAAUACUAAAGCGUGACUUGAUACGGAUAUAUCUAGACAAAUUUAAGACAAGAAUUUUGGGACGGAGGGAGUACUUC